UACGUAGGGGGCAAGCGUUGUCCGGAAUCAUCGGGCGUAAAGCGCGUGUAGGCGGCCAGGUAAGUCCGUUCUGAAAGCCCGGGGCUCAACCCCGGGAGGCGGAUGGAUACUGCUUGGCUCGAGUCCGGAAGAGGCGAGUGGAAUUCCCGGUGUAGCGGUGAAAUGCGCAGAUAUCGGGAAGAACACCCGUGGCGAAGGCGGUUCUCUGGGACGGUACUGACGCUGAGACGCGAAAGCGUGGGGAGCGAACAGG
This 253-nucleotide ribosomal RNA is filed under the name uncultured bacterium. RNAcentral describes it as "partial 16S ribosomal RNA". It matches the Rfam family "Bacterial small subunit ribosomal RNA", at positions 524 to 776 of the family's 1533-position model. The record is from RNAcentral.